Long non-coding RNA from Siniperca chuatsi (mandarin fish), 1286 nucleotides. RefSeq lists it as uncharacterized. The transcript is spliced from 3 exons. The record is from RefSeq and is a predicted model, not a curated record. NCBI's taxonomy places the organism in Eukaryota, Metazoa, Chordata, Actinopteri, Centrarchiformes, Sinipercidae.
UCUCUGUCUAGUACCCUUGUUUCUUGUAUCUGUUCAUCUGGAGUCUUUGUUUCCCCUUUAUCUUGCCUUUCGGUGGAUUUUCCUGCUCAUCAUUGGACUUGUGUGUAUGUUUUGGACUGCUUACCUGCUGAGUAUUGCUUUGCCUGCCAAUUCAGUUGAAGUGAUGGCAGUGAUGUUUCUCCCAAAGCAAGCAAAUUUGCACCAGGCCCACAAUCCACUCCUACCAAGAUGCAACACAGAGCAGAUCAAGAACUAUCUGAAUCAACUGGGCCUAGUCUCUCCUCUAGCUUGACACUACUUCGUUUAAGUCCACCACGCACCAAGCCAUCAUUAUUUGGGCAUUCCUUGCACUGCUUCCUAUUUGGGCAUAAUCACGGGAACGCUUUGCAGUGCUGACACAUUUUUCAGAACAACUGAAUUGUAACCAUUCACCUCUUACAUUACUGGAGUGACACUCAGUGUAUAAUAUUUUGUGAACAAGGUUUGCCACCGCAUCAACCACUUUCUUUCUCCAUACAGCCAGUGAAGAUGUAUCACGAACUCAACAGGAAGGUGCAGCAGGACCUGAAGUGAGCAACCUGAACAUGAGCUUCGAGAAGAUGGAUAUUGUGGAUCCCUUAGACAUCAGUUUUGCACCACCUUGCCUUCCAGCCCAAGAUUGGCUUCUGGCUCUGGAUGCUCCCAUGGAGAUACUCCAGGAGGAUGGGCUGCAAAUACAAGUGGCUGGUGAACGAAUCAAAGCUUAUGGAACUUUUUAAAACAUGCAGCAAAUGUGGCUGUGGCAUAGAAAAAGUUGAAAGAAAGUCCAGCCAAAUUAAAAUCAGUGGACCUGCCUAAAUGGACACGCAAAAGUUGGCAUCAUGUCCUGAUUGAAGAGGGAUGACUGGAAACAAUCUUCUGAUAUGUGCAGCUACAGAUAUUACUGGACCAACACACACAGACAUAGCAGACUGGGCAGAACUAUGUACAAAUUCCAAAGCAAACCCAGUUUUGUCAUUCAGUGGACCUCAUACCAGUUAUUCAAUAUGCAUACAGAGAUCAACAUCAGAAUCAUGGAGCGCCUCACUCAGGAAAUGGCAUCUAAAAAGAAAAUUGAACUCUGUGGUGAUGCCAGAUGUGAUAGUCCUGGUAAGCAUUUUACUUGUUCAUUGAAAUGUAAAUGUUUAUUUUCAUUUUACUGUGAAACAGUAUUGUUACAGUAUUCCUACUGGACGAGCCGCCACAGGAGCACAGGAAACUCUAGCGUUGCAGCCAUGAUGUCAUCAAGCCUAUAAACUCAGAGCGUG